GACGAACGCUGGCGGCGUGCUUAACACAUGCAAGUCGAACGGAAAGGCCCUGCUUUUGUGGGGUGCUCGAGUGGCGAACGGGUGAGUAACACGUGAGUAACCUGCCCUUGACUUUGGGAUAACUUCAGGAAACUGGGGCUAAUACCGGAUAGGAGCUCCUGCUGCAUGGUGGGGGUUGGAAAGUUUCGGCGGUUGGGGAUGGACUCGCGGCUUAUCAGCUUGUUGGUGGGGUAGUGGCUUACCAAGGCUUUGACGGGUAGCCGGCCUGAGAGGGUGACCGGCCACAUUGGGACUGAGAUACGGCCCAGACUCCUACGGGAGGCAGCAGUGGGGAAUAGUGCACAAGGGGCGGAAGCCUGACGCAGCAACGCCGCGUGCGGGAUGACGGCCUUCGGGUUGUAAACCGCGUUCGCCUGUGACGAAGCGUGAGUGACGGUAAUGGGUAAAGAAGCACCGGCUAACUACGUG
This 468-nucleotide ribosomal RNA is filed under the name uncultured bacterium. Its description in RNAcentral is "partial 16S ribosomal RNA". It matches the Rfam family "Bacterial small subunit ribosomal RNA", at positions 28 to 507 of the family's 1533-position model. The record is from RNAcentral.